This 241-nucleotide ribosomal RNA is filed under the name uncultured bacterium. RNAcentral's name for it is "partial 16S ribosomal RNA". It matches the Rfam family "Bacterial small subunit ribosomal RNA", at positions 524 to 762 of the family's 1533-position model. The record is from RNAcentral.
UACGGGGGGGGCAAGCGUUGUUCGGAAUUACUGGGCGUAAAGGGCUCGUAGGCGGCCAACUAAGUCAGACGUGAAAUCCCUCGGCUUAACCGGGGAACUGCGUCUGAUACUGGAUGGCUUGAGUUCGGGAGGGGGAUGUGGAAUUCCAGGUGUAGCGGUGAAAUGCGUAGAUGAUCUGGAGGAACACCGGUGGCGAAGGCGGCAUCCUGGACCGACACUGGACGCUGAUGAGCGAAAGCGU